AGUCACUGACAUUAGAUACCCGUGUAGUCCAGGGUGUAAGCGCUGCAGACUUGGUGUUGGAAGUCCUUUGGGGGCAUUCAGUGCCGGAGAGAAGUUGUUAAGUCUGCUACUUGGGGAGUACGUCCGCAAGGAUGAAACUUAAAGGAAUUGGCGGGGGAGCACCGCAACGGGAGGAGCGUGCGGUUUAAUUGGAUUCAACACCGUAAACUCACCAGGGAAGACUGUUACAUGAAAGCCGAGAUGAAGACUCUGCUAGAUUUUCAG
This 264-nucleotide ribosomal RNA is filed under the name uncultured archaeon. RNAcentral's name for it is "partial 16S ribosomal RNA". It matches the Rfam family "Archaeal small subunit ribosomal RNA", at positions 717 to 982 of the family's 1478-position model. The record is from RNAcentral.